This 253-nucleotide ribosomal RNA is filed under the name uncultured bacterium. RNAcentral describes it as "partial 16S ribosomal RNA". It matches the Rfam family "Bacterial small subunit ribosomal RNA", at positions 524 to 776 of the family's 1533-position model. The record is from RNAcentral.
UACGUAGGGUGCGAGCGUUAAUCGGAAUUACUGGGCGUAAAGCGUGCGCAGGCGGUUUUGUAAGCCCGAUGUGAAAUCCCCGGGCUCAACCUGGGAAUGGCAUUUGGGACUGCAAGGCUUGAGUGCGGCAGAGGAGACUGGAAUUCCUGGUGUAGCAGUGAAAUGCGUAGAUAUCAGGAGGAAUACCGAUGGCGAAGGCAGGUCUCUGGGCUGACACUGACGCUCAUGCACGAAAGCGUGGGGAGCAAACAGG